UGCUGGAGGUAUCAGAAGUGCGAAUGCUGACAUAAGUAACGAUAAAGCGGGUGAAAAGCCCGCUCGCCGGAAGACCAAGGGUUCCUGUCCAACGUUAAUCGGGGCAGGGUGAGUCGACCCCUAAGGCGAGGCCGAAAGGCGUAGUCGAUGGGAAACAGGUUAAUAUUCCUGUACUUGGUGUUACUGCGAAGGGGGGACGGAGAAGGCUAUGUUAGCCGGGCGACGGUUGUCCCGGUUUAAGCAUGUAGGCUGAUUAUCCAGGCAAAUCCGGAUAAUCAAGGCUGAGGUGUGAUGACGAGGCACUACGGUGCUGAAGUAACAAAUGCCCUGCUUCCAGGAAAAGCCUCUAAGCAUCAGGUAACAUCAAAUCGUACCCCAAACCGACACAGGUGGUCAGGUAGAGAAUACCAAGGCGCUUGAGAGAACUCGGGUGAAGGAACUAGGCAAAAUGGUGCCGUAACUUCGGGAGAAGGCACGCUGGUGUGUAGGUGAAGUCCCUGCGGAUGGAGCUGAGACCAGUCGAAGAUACCAGCUGGCUGCAACUGUUUAUUAAAAACACAGCACUGUGCAAACACGAAAGUGGACGUAUACGGUGUGACGCCUGCCCGGUGCCGGAAGGUUAAUUGAUGGGGUUAUCCGUAAGGAGAAGCUCUUGAUCGAAGCCCCGGUAAACGGCGGCCGUAACUAUAACGGUCCUAAGGUAGCGAAAUUCCUUGUCGGGUAAGUUCCGACCUGCACGAAUGGCGUAAUGAUGGCCAGGCUGUCUCCACCCGAGACUCAGUGAAAUUGAACUCGCUGUGAAGAUGCAGUGUACCCGCGGCAAGACGGAAAGACCCCGUGAACCUUUACUAUAGCUUGACACUGAACAUUGAGCCUUGAUGUGUAGGAUAGGUGGGAGGCUUUGAAGCGUGGACGCCAGUCUGCGUGGAGCCAACCUUGAAAUACCACCCUUUAAUGUUUGAUGUUCUAACGUUGGCCCCUGACCGGGGUUGCGGACAGUGUCUGGUGGGUAGUUUGACUGGGGCGGUCUCCUCCCAAAGCGUAACGGAGGAGCACGAAGGUUAGCUAAUCCUGGUCGGACAUCAGGAGGUUAGUGCAAUGGCAUAAGCUAGCUUGACUGCGAGCGUGACGGCGCGAGCAGGUGCGAAAGCAGGUCAUAGUGAUCCGGUGGUUCUGAAUGGAAGGGCCAUCGCUCAACGGAUAAAAGGUACUCCGGGGAUAACAGGCUGAUACCGCCCAAGAGUUCAUAUCGACGGCGGUGUUUGGCACCUCGAUGUCGGCUCAUCACAUCCUGGGGCUGAAGUAGGUCCCAAGGGUAUGGCUGUUCGCCAUUUAAAGUGGUACGCGAGCUGGGUUUAGAACGUCGUGAGACAGUUCGGUCCCUAUCUGCCGUGGGCGCUGGAGAAUUGAGGGGGGCUGCUCCUAGUACGAGAGGACCGGAGUGGACGCAUCACUGGUGUUCGGGUUGUCAUGCCAAUGGCACUGCCCGGUAGCUAAAUGCGGAAGAGAUAAGUGCUGAAAGCAUCUAAGCACGAAACUUGCCCCGAGAUGAGUUCUCCCUGAGACUUUAAGUCUCCUGAAGGAACGUUGAAGACGACGACGUUGAUAGGCCGGGUGUGUAAGCGCAGCGAUGCGUUGAGCUAACCGGUACUAAUGAACCGUGAGGCUUAACCUU
Molecule: ribosomal RNA, 1675 nt
Filed under: human gut metagenome
Description: bacterial LSU rRNA
Rfam family: Bacterial large subunit ribosomal RNA
Source: RNAcentral